RNAcentral lists this ribosomal RNA (1352 nucleotides) under uncultured bacterium. RNAcentral's name for it is "bacterial SSU rRNA". It matches the Rfam family "Bacterial small subunit ribosomal RNA", at positions 28 to 1381 of the family's 1533-position model. The record is from RNAcentral.
AUUGAACGCUGGCGGCAUGCCUUACACAUGCAAGUCGAACGGCAGCACGGGGCAACCUGGUGGCGAGUGGCGAACGGGUGAGUAAUAUAUCGGAACGUACCCUGGAGUGGGGGAUAACGUAGCGAAAGUUACGCUAAUACCGCAUACGAUCUAAGGAUGAAAGUGGGGGAUGCGCAAGCACCUCAUGCUCCUGGAGCGGCCGAUAUCUGAUUAGCUAGUUGGUAGGGUAAAAGCCUACCAAGGCAUCGAUCAGUAGCUGGUCUGAGAGGACGACCAGCCACACUGGAACUGAGACACGGUCCAGACUCCUACGGGAGGCAGCAGUGGGGAAUUUUGGACAAUGGGCGCAAGCCUGAUCCAGCAAUGCCGCGUGAGUGAAGAAGGCCUUCGGGUUGUAAAGCUCUUUUGUCAGGGAAGAAACGGACUUUUCUAAUACAGAGGUCUAAUGACGGUACCUGAAGAAUAAGCACCGGCUAACUACGUGCCAGCAACCGCGGUAAUACGUAGGGUGCAAGCGUUAAUCGGAAUUACUGGGCGUAAAGCGUGCGCAGGCGGUUUUGUAAGACUGUCGUGAAAUCCCCGGGCUCAACCUGGGAAUGGCGAUGGUGACUGCAAGGCUAGAGUUUGGCAGAGGGGGGUAGAAUUCCACGUGUAGCAGUGAAAUGCGUAGAUAUGUGGAGGAACACCGAUGGCGAAGGCAGCCCCCUGGGUCAAAACUGACGCUCAUGCACGAAAGCGUGGGGAGCAAACAGGAUUAGAUACCCUGGUAGUCCACGCCCUAAACGAUGUCUACUAGUUGUCGGGUUUUAAUUAACUUGGUAACGCAGCUAACGCGUGAAGUAGACCGCCUGGGGAGUACGGUCGCAAGAUUAAAACUCAAAGGAAUUGACGGGGACCCGCACAAGCGGUGGAUGAUGUGGAUUAAUUCGAUGCAACGCGAAAAACCUUACCUACCCUUGACAUGGCAGAAAUCCUCGAGAGAUCGGGGAGUGCUCGAAAGAGAAUCUGCACACAAGUGCUGCAUGGCUGUCGUCAGCUCGUGUCGUGAGAUGUUGGGUUAAGUCCCGCAACGAGCGCAACCCUUGUCAUUAGUUGCUACGAAAGAGCACUCUAAUGAGACUGCCGGUGACAAACCGGAGGAAGGUGGGGAUGACGUCAAGUCCUCAUGGCCCUUAUGGGUAGGGCUUCACACGUCAUACAAUGGUACAUACAGAGGGCCGCCAACCCGCGAGGGGGAGCUAAUCCCAGAAAGUGUAUCGUAGUCCGGAUUGUAGUCUGCAACUCGACUGCAUGAAGUUGGAAUCGCUAGUAAUCGCGGAUCAGCAUGUCGCGGUGAAUACGUUCCCGGGUCU